This is a long non-coding RNA of Macaca fascicularis (crab-eating macaque), 2564 nucleotides long. The record is from Ensembl. Lineage: Eukaryota; Metazoa; Chordata; Mammalia; Primates; Cercopithecidae.
GGAGGCCAGGCCCAUCCAUACCCAGAAGAGUCCACGGCCUGGCCUUCCUCUGGCCAUGCCCAAACCCCGCUCCCUGUCUGGGUCACCCACCACAGUCCUCCCCCAUAGACUUGCUUUUUACCACCUCACACCCACUCCAGUCUCUCUGCCAAACCCACAGCGCAGGGCACACAGAUCCAAGCCUCCCCCCAGCUCAAGAUGCGGCAGCCCACCUUGUAUCCCCUCGAAGCUGCAAGUGUAGUCCAGGCCCCCAUCCAGUCCUCAGUGUCCUCACCUCUCCUGUGCUUCACCUUAUCUGGGCCAAGUUCUGGGCAUGUGCAUUGGAAGGGCCCUCACCUCCCGCCAAACAGGAAGUCUGCAGUGCCCCCUGCUGGGCCUGGGCACCUUGCUAGGCCACCUCAAGCCACCUGAGCUUUCUCCUCCUACCUCUCUCCAGUUUCCCAGCCUGGCCUGGAGCUCAGAACCCCACUCAGGGACUCCCCUGUCUGGUCCUGCCAGCAUCCCUGCGCUAAAGCCCCAGGAAUCUCACCACCGGCUCUGACCCUGUCUCCCUCCCGCACUGGCCAGGGCAGGGGGAACAGGCACGGAGCAGCUGCCUGCACAGGUGUGUGUUCACAGGACGCCCCCACCCCUCCGCCAGCCCCUGCAUCCCGGGAAUCCUCACAGCCACCUCCCAGAGAAGGAGGCAGGGCAGAGAGAGGGCAGGGGAGUGUGAAGUGGGGGAAGCUGAGAACUUCUGGAGCACAGGGGCCUGCAGGUAACCUUGCAGCCAUGGGUAGAAGGAUGCAGGGGAGCCGGGGCUAAGGUCAGGGUGGGUACUGUGAGUUGCCCUGUCCGGCCUGCCCUGUGUGCUGUCAGGCUCCCAAUCAAGGUCUCCGGGAAUCCCUCAGCUCCCUGGAGCUCCCUCUGGCUCAGCUCAUCAGGCCUCCCUUUGGGGCUCAAAGCAGCACUCACUUGUCUGAGGUGAGCAGCAAGACAGUGUUGCCGUCCAUGGAGUAGGUGACGAAGGACAUCCGCAUAUUCAGUCUGAGACGGAAUCAAGUGCUGGUGAAAAGCCGGAGGCACCGGCUCAGAAGCCAGAGCGAAUGAUGCCAAUUCCCCACCUCCCACCCCAACUCUGUUAUGAAUUCCCUGUUAUGAUUGACAGGAGGCUUGACGCGAUGACUUUGUGACCUGCUGCUCUUCCCAAUAUCCUGCACGUUGACAACACCAGUGGGAGGCACAGGACCUUUAGAGGGGCUACAAGAGGAAGCCUCAAUUUCCCUUAUAACAGCCCUCAUGGUGUCCCUUAAAACUCCCAGACGCUGCCAUUUGUUCACUGGAAGAGUUAGCCUAGGUGACUUAGGUGAGGACAUUGCUGUAGGUGAGGAAGUCAAGGACUGGGAGGUCAGAGUGUUGGCAGUGAGAGGUCAUUUGUGUGACACUGAAGUCUCCCAGGGGAUAGCCGAUCUGGAAGGAGAUGGAAACUGCAGUGUUGCCAGAGUCCUUGUGAAUGAGGGACAUUCUGGUUCUUUACUGCUGUGCACCAGACCCCCCUCAUUUAGGGACACGGAACAGGCCCAUUUUAUUACGCUCACAGGUUCUGAGGAUCAGGCACUCAGGGCAGAGUAGGGAGGGCUUCCUCAAGUCUGGGGCCCCAGAUGGGAAGGCUUGAGCAGCCCACAUGACUUGAAGGAUUGGGCACUAGAAUUAUCUGGAGGCUGCUCCACUCACAAGUGUGGCUCCUGGGCAGGAGGGCUCAAAAGCUGGGCUCAGCUGGAACUGUGAAUGGAGAUCCUGCAUGUAGCCUCCCGGUGUGACUUGGGCUUCUUCUCAGCAUGGCAGCUUCAGGAUGCUUGGGCUUUUACAGGUGGCCCAGAGUUCCAAGAGUGAGUAUUUCCAGUGAGCAAGGCAGUAAUUGUAGAGUCUUUUAUGAUAUCACUUUGGAAGUCACACAGUGUCACUUCCACUGUACUCUAUUGGUCCAAGCAGUCGCAGCUGCCUAGAGUCAAUGGGAGGAACACAGGCCCCCUCUCUAGGGCAGGAGUGUGGACGAGUUCACAUCCCAUUGUCAAAACUGCUAUACGACCAAUGCUUUGAAUGGCAGAGACAUUAGUGUGUGGAAAAAUGUGGACACUGAUGAUGGGAUUCAAGUUGGACUCAGAAGUUAGACUGUGAUAGAAACACCUUAAUUUUAUUUUCUUCAUUUUUGUAUGCAGAAGUAAUAUAUGAUUAAAAAUCCUUCUUCAAUAAGUCUAAAAUAGAUCUUUCAACGUAUUUAACACAAAAAUUACAAGUGACAGCCAAGCAGGGUGGCUCAUGCCUGUAAUCUCAGCACUUGGGAGGCUGAGGAUGGCAGAUGACUUAAGGUCAGGAUUUUGAGAGCUGCCUGGCCAGCAUGGCGAAACCCAUCUCUACCAAAAAUACAAAAAUUAGCCAGGCAUGGUGGUGCACAUCUGUAAUCCCAACUACUCGGAAGGCUGAGGCAGAGAAAUCACUUGAAUUUGGGAGGCAGAGGUUGCAGAUUGCAAGAUUGCACCAUUGCAUGCCAGCCUGAGUGAGACUGUUUCUAAAAAAAAAAAAAA